This 556-nucleotide long non-coding RNA is filed under the name Homo sapiens (human). RNAcentral's name for it is "non-protein coding lnc-GATM-6:1". The record is from RNAcentral. Lineage: Eukaryota; Metazoa; Chordata; Mammalia; Primates; Hominidae.
UUUCUCGGUUCAACAAACUUCGAGUUGUGGUGGCCGAUGACGGUUCCGAAGCCCCGGAAAGGCCUGUUAACGGGGCGCACCCGACCCUCCAGGCCGACGAUGAUUCCUUACUGGACCAAGACUUACCUUUGACCAACAGUCAGCUGAGUUUGAAGGUGGACUCCUGUGACAACUGCAGCAAACAGAGAGAGAUACUGAAGCAGAGAAAGGUGAAAGCCAGGUUGACCAUUGCUGCCGUUCUGUACUUGCUUUUCAUGAUUGGAGAACUUGUAGGUGGAUACAUUGCAAAUAGCCUAGCAAUCAUGACAGAUGCACUUCAUAUGUUAACUGACCUAAGCGCCAUCAUACUCACCCUGCUUGCUUUGUGGCUAUCAUCAAAAUCACCAACCAAAAGAUUCACCUUUGGAUUUCAUCGCUUAGGCUGGAAUACAAUGACACCAUCAUAGCUCACUGCACCGUCGAACUCCUGAGCUCUAGAAAUCUUACCCUCGCAGCCUCCAGAGUAGCUAGGACUGCAUGCAUAUACCACCAUACCCAGCUAAUUUUUUAAUUUUUU